Molecule: ribosomal RNA, 464 nt
Filed under: uncultured bacterium
Lineage: Bacteria
Description: partial 16S ribosomal RNA
Rfam family: Bacterial small subunit ribosomal RNA
Source: RNAcentral
GACGAACGCUGGCGGCGUGCUUAACACAUGCAAGUCGAACGGAAAGGCCCCUUUGGGGGUACUCGAGUGGCGAACGGGUGAGUAACACGUGAGUAACCUGCCCUUGACUUCGGGAUAACUUCAGGAAACUGGGGCUAAUACCGGAUAGGAAUCCUUGCUGCAUGGUGGGGGUUGGAAAGCUUCGGCGGUUUUGGAUGGACUCGCGGCUUAUCAGCUUGUUGGUGGGGUAGUGGCUUACCAAGGCUUUGACGGGUAGCCGGCCUGAGAGGGCGACCGGCCACAUUGGGACUGAGAUACGGCCCAGACUCCUACGGGGGGCAGCAGUGGGGAAUAUUGCACAAUGGGCGGAAGCCUGAUGCAGCAACGCCGCGUGCGGGAUGACGGCCUUCGGGUUGUAAACCGCUUUCAGCAGGGGCGAAGCUUGUGGUGACGGUACCUGCAGAAGAAGCACCGGCUAACUACGU